RNAcentral lists this ribosomal RNA (1268 nucleotides) under Satyrium prunoides. Its description in RNAcentral is "partial 16S ribosomal RNA". The record is from RNAcentral. Lineage: Eukaryota; Metazoa; Arthropoda; Insecta; Lepidoptera; Lycaenidae.
UAAGAUAAAAAUUAAUAAUAAAUAAAUAAUAAAAGUAAUUUUAAUAUUAAAAUAAAUAAUGGGGGUUAAAGUAUUUUAAUAGAAAAAAUUAUAAAUUUUAUAGUAAAUUAGUAUAAUAAUAGAAAUUUGAAAUAAUUGAAAAAUAAAUUAAAUAAAAGUAAAUUUUAAUUAUUGUAUCUUGUGUAUCAGAGUUUAUUAAAUAUAUUUUUAAUAUAAAAAAUAUCUCGAAUUUGAAAGAGUUAAUUAAUUAAUAAAUUUAAUGUUGAAUAAUUAUUUUAAAUAAUUAAUUAGAAAUGAAAUGUUAUUCGUUUUCAAAUAUAUCUAGUUAUUUUAGAAAAAAAUUUAAUUUUAAAAUUAUUUAAUUUUUUUUAUAAUUAAAUUUAUAAUAAAAAAAAAUAAAUUUUAUAAUUUAAGGGAUAAGCUUUAAAUUAAAAAAUUAUAAUAAAAUAUUAAUUAAAAUUAAAAUUUUUAAAAUUUAGAUUGUUUAAAAAUUAAAGUUUAUUAUAAAAAAUUUUAUUAAAAAUAAAAUUUAUUUAAAUUUAAAUUUUUAAAAAAAUAUAGUAAAUAAUAAAUAAUUAUUAGAAAUAAUGAUAAAAUUAGUAUAAUAAAAUUAAAUAAAUAAAUUAUUAUAUUUAUAAUUAAAUAAAAUGAAUUCGGCAAAUUUAUAUAUUCACCUGUUUAACAAAAACAUGUCUUUUUGAAAAAUAAUUUAAAGUCCAAUCUGCCCACUGAUUUAAUAUUAAAGGGCUGCAGUAUAUUGACUGUACAAAGGUAGCAUAAUCAUUAGUCUUUUAAUUGAAGACUUGUAUGAAAGAUUAGAUGAGAUAUAAACUGUCUCUUAUUUAAAAAUUGAAUUUAAUUUUUUAGUUAAAAAGCUAAAAUAAUUUUAAAAGACGAGAAGACCCUAUAGAGUUUUAUAUUUCUUUAUUAAUGUAUUUAUAUAAAAUUUUAAUAUGAAAAAUAAUUAAGUAUUUUAUUGGGGUGAUAAAAAAAUUAAUUAAACUUUUUUUUAAAUAAAACAAAAAUAAAUGAUUAAAUGAUCCAUAAUUAAUGAUUAAAAGAAAAAAUUACCUUAGGGAUAACUGCGUAAUAUUUUUUUUUAGUACAAAUAAAAAAAAAAGUUUGCGACCUCGAUGUUGGAUUAAGAUAAAAUUUAAAUGCAAAAGUUUAAAAUUUUGAUCUGUUCGAUCAUUAAAAUCUUACAUGAUCUGAGUUCAAACCGGUGUAAGCCAGGUUGGUUUCUAUCUUUAAAAAAAUAAAAUAUUUUA